GACUCUCGGCAACGGAUAUCUCGGCUCUCGCAUCGAUGAAGAACGUAGCGAAAUGCGAUACUUGGUGUGAAUUGCAGAAUCCCGCGAACCAUCGAGUCUUUGAACGCAAGUUGCGCCCGAGGCCCCCCGGCCGAGGGCACGCCUGCCUGGGCGUCA
RNAcentral lists this ribosomal RNA (156 nucleotides) under Barbacenia gardneri. Its description in RNAcentral is "5.8S ribosomal RNA". It matches the Rfam family "5.8S ribosomal RNA". Rfam says of the family: 5.8S ribosomal RNA (5.8S rRNA) is a component of the large subunit of the eukaryotic ribosome. It is transcribed by RNA polymerase I as part of the 45S precursor that also contains 18S and 28S rRNA. Lineage: Eukaryota; Viridiplantae; Streptophyta; Magnoliopsida; Pandanales; Velloziaceae. RNAcentral also lists the same sequence under 7 other names. The record is from RNAcentral.